Molecule: long non-coding RNA, 288 nt
Filed under: Elaeis guineensis (African oil palm)
Lineage: Eukaryota; Viridiplantae; Streptophyta; Magnoliopsida; Arecales; Arecaceae
Description: long non-coding RNA (EGUI_LNC014572)
Source: RNAcentral
CGCCAGGAAAGCUUCGCCUGGGCUCCUACGGGAGCCGGGCUCCGCCGCCAAAAAAGCCGGGCUCCAUCCGCUACUUCGCCAGCAAGGGUUAAGAAUGGUGGCGAGGCUUGGCCACAUGACGAGAUCGGAUGGAAGGGAAGAGCCCCUUCCCAUGACGACCUCUAAGCCAAACAGGCCAAACGACGAGAAAGGGUCAACGAACGACAAUAUUGGUGCUACGCGCGGACAAGGUAACACAAAAUACUUUUUCCUCAUUUUCGAUAUAUGUACUACAGGGCCAGGACGGCC